GGUAAACGGCGGCCGUAACUAUAACGGUCCUAAGGUAGCGAAAUUCCUUGUCGGGUAAGUUCCGACCUGCACGAAUGGCGUAAUGAUGGCCAGGCUGUCUCCACCCGAGACUCAGUGAAAUUGAACUCGCUGUGAAGAUGCAGUGUACCCGCGGCAAGACGGAAAGACCCCGUGAACCUUUACUAUAGCUUGACACUGAACAUUGAGCCUUGAUGUGUAGGAUAGGUGGGAGGCUUUGAAGCGUGGACGCCAGUCUGCGUGGAGCCAACCUUGAAAUACCACCCUUUAAUGUUUGAUGUUCUAACGUUGGCCCCUUACCGGGGUUGCGGACAGUGUCUGGUGGGUAGUUUGACUGGGGCGGUCUCCUCCCAAAGCGUAACGGAGGAGCACGAAGGUUAGCUAAUCCUGGUCGGACAUCAGGAGGUUAGUGCAAUGGCAUAAGCUAGCUUGACUGCGAGCGUGACGGCGCGAGCAGGUGCGAAAGCAGGUCAUAGUGAUCCGGUGGUUCUGAAUGGAAGGGCCAUCGCUCAACGGAUAAAAGGUACUCCGGGGAUAACAGGCUGAUACCGCCCAAGAGUUCAUAUCGACGGCGGUGUUUGGCACCUCGAUGUCGGCUCAUCACAUCCUGGGGCUGAAGUAGGUCCCAAGGGUAUGGCUGUUCGCCAUUUAAAGUGGUACGCGAGCUGGGUUUAGAACGUCGUGAGACAGUUCGGUCCCUAUCUGCCGUGGGCGCUGGAGAAUUGAGGGGGGCUGCUCCUAGUACGAGAGGACCGGAGUGGACGCAUCACUGGUGUUCGGGUUGUCAUGCCAAUGGCACUGCCCGGUAGCUAAAUGCGGAAGAGAUAAGUGCUGAAAGCAUCUAAGCACGAAACUUGCCCCGAGAUGAGUUCUCCCUGAGACUAUAAGUCUCCUGAAGGAACGUUAAAGACGAUGACGUUGAUAGGCCGGGUGUGUAAGCGCAGCGAUGCGUUGAGCUAACCGGUACUAAUGAACCGUGAGGCUUAACCUU
RNAcentral lists this ribosomal RNA (1009 nucleotides) under Klebsiella pneumoniae. RNAcentral describes it as "bacterial LSU rRNA". It matches the Rfam family "Bacterial large subunit ribosomal RNA", at positions 1922 to 2925 of the family's 2925-position model. Lineage: Bacteria; Pseudomonadati; Pseudomonadota; Gammaproteobacteria; Enterobacterales; Enterobacteriaceae. The record is from RNAcentral.